UUUUUCGGGCAUUUUCGUGAUUUGGGCUAUAUUACGGACCCAAAAUUACUUGUUCAAGCAUUGUUUUCGAAUUUUUUCAUGCAUCAAAGCUCGUUAAGACUAGAUGGGGUAUCCCUACAUAGCGGGUGGGACCCACGGCGAAUGGUUCAUCAAGUCUUCAAAAAAGAAUAUAUACGAUUGCAUUGCAUAUACUAACGGAUGCGAUCAUACCAGCACUAAUGCACCGGAUCCCAUCAGAACUCCGCAGUUAAGCGUGCUUGGGCGAGAGUAGUACUAGGAUGGGUGACCUCCCGGGAAGUCCUCGUGUUGCAUCCCUCUUUUAUGUUUAACCUUUUUUUUUUUGGUUAAAACUUUAUGACUCCAUAACUUCUAGACAG
Molecule: ribosomal RNA, 377 nt
Filed under: Arabidopsis thaliana (thale cress)
Lineage: Eukaryota; Viridiplantae; Streptophyta; Magnoliopsida; Brassicales; Brassicaceae
Source: RNAcentral